This is a long non-coding RNA of Macaca fascicularis (crab-eating macaque), 1744 nucleotides long. The record is from Ensembl. Lineage: Eukaryota; Metazoa; Chordata; Mammalia; Primates; Cercopithecidae.
UGGGCGCCGACACUCUUAAUGAGUUUUUUACAAGACCAUUCUUUAAUGGGUGAACCCUGACAGGAAACACUAAAGAUGGUUUUUAACUAUUUUUAUAUCAAGACAUAUCUUUAUCAAACGUCCACUCAAUGCUAAAUGUCACUUCUCCAGCCUACCCAUUUAAGAAUACCUAAAAGUGAAGACUGGAAUGACGCUUUCAAACACAUACUCUACUCAUGCAUUCCCGGGAGCAGAGAGCAGCUUAAUGUUUUCACGAUAUGCAGGCAUGAAGUUUGGCGAAGGCAUUUUAAUAUUUUUACCUGAAUAUUUUAAUAAAAUCAAAAGAUCAUUUUCACUCUAAUACUCUACUUAGAAUGUAAUUUUCCAUUAAAUAAACAGUCAAUGUUCAGUAACCCACAUGCUGAUAAACUUUUGAAAAGUUUAGAAAGUAUUAAGUAUAAUCAAAGAUUACUUUUAAUUUUCGAGCUGGCAAGAGCCUGUGUCAGGGAACAGAGUUCAGAUUGAAGAGAUAAAAGCACGAUUAUUUUCUUAAAGAAAAGCGAAAUUCAUAAAAGAGACCAGGUGAUUCUAUAAAGCAACACAGAAUCCGUUUUCAGAAAAGGCAAACGUGGACCACAGAACACCAGUGUUGCCCGUGAUGAGAGAAACAGUUAAAAAGAAGAAUUCACGGUGGCCCAGCAUAGAUCAGGUGUGGGAGGACAGAGAGGUGAAGAAAUCAUCCUCCUUCUAACUUCCCAGAAAGGCACAAAUGGCCAGCACUGUAACUGAAGACCACGCAGGCACCAGUGUGAACUCAAACUCCAUGGCCAGCACCGUAACUGGAGACCACAUGGGCAAUGCUGUGAACUCAGACCCCACAGCCCACACCAUAACUGGAGACGACACGGGCACCAGUGUGAACUCAGACCCAACAGCACCUGCCUGGGCUGCUCCAGCCACUAGCAGAACCUGUUGUGCAGCUGAACUGGAAGCUGAUUCUGGAAAGAACUGAGGAGCAUGAGGACGAGAUCCUUCUACCUCAACAGGGAUCAAUUUUUUAACGAUUUCUUUCUGUCAGAAAACUGUUAAUAAAAUACUUUGUUCUAAAAUGACCAGGAUUUCAGCAGCCUCUACAUUCCUUCAUGUCAAUCAAAGCUUAGGCACGUGGGUUACUUCACUGUUCAUGACACCUUUUUCAAAUAAACCCCGGGGCCGCCUGUGUACCCAAGAGCCUGGGCACUGAGCAUUCAGAGAAAACGUCCAGGGCGAGAGUGUUCACGUCCCAGCGGUGCAGUAGAGCGCAUGGGGGGAGUUUAAGCCACAAGUGGCCACACCUCCCCUGCCUCUGGCCAGUGCCCACUGCUCACACACACACUCCUUCCUCAGCCCAUCCUGAGCCACGGGGCCCUCGCGUAACCAAAGUCACUGCAGCACCUCCAGGAACAAACUGGUUACAGGUGGACUGCUCUCUACGCAAGGUACGCUAGAUUAAGAAAACUGACUAAAAACAGUAGGAAGAAAAACUCACUCCACCCAUUGAGGCAAGAGAAAUGCACACAGCCUCUGAAAUCACUGCAGAGGAGUUUUCCUGGGUUAGGUACGCGGUGGGGUGACCCUACCCCAUAGCGGGGCAAUGGCACAUGGUGGGAACCAAGGAACAUCUCCGAAUAAAUGUAGGAAAAUGCACUCAACUCCCAAACAGAGAGAGAAACUGCUUUUUUCCUUAAAAGCUUCUGUCUUUUAUUCUCAGAAAGACUCUCUUUGG